This is a non-coding RNA of Aedes aegypti (yellow fever mosquito), 68 nucleotides long. NCBI's taxonomy places the organism in Eukaryota, Metazoa, Arthropoda, Insecta, Diptera, Culicidae. The record is from Rfam.
UGCCCAGCAACUCCUAUCCCUACCUCCUCGUGGUACUGGCCGGGGUACGAGUAAACUUGGGGAGAAGA